AUGAAUGCUGGCGGCGUGCCUAACACAUGCAAGUCGAGCGGUAACAGGUCUAGUUUACUAGAUGCUGACGAGCGGCGGACGGCUGAGUAACGCGUGGGAAUGUGCCCCAAAGUGAGGAAUAACUGCCCGAAAGGGUAGCUAAUACCGCAUAUGAUCUUCGGAUUAAAGGAUUUAUCCGCUUUGGGAGCAGCCCGCGUUCGAUUAGGUAGUUGGUGAGGUAAUGGCUCACCAAGCCCACGAUCGAUAGCUGGUCUGAGAGGAAUGACCAGCCAGACUGGAACUGAGACACGGUCCAGACUCCUACGGGAGGCAGCAGUGAGGAAUCUUCCACAAUGGGCGAAAGCCUGAUGGAGCAACGCCGCGUGCAGGAUGAAGGCCUUAGGGU
This 385-nucleotide ribosomal RNA is filed under the name uncultured bacterium. Its description in RNAcentral is "bacterial SSU rRNA". It matches the Rfam family "Bacterial small subunit ribosomal RNA", at positions 29 to 423 of the family's 1533-position model. The record is from RNAcentral.